RNAcentral lists this long non-coding RNA (507 nucleotides) under Ricinus communis (castor bean). RNAcentral's name for it is "long non-coding RNA (RCOM_LNC003037)". Lineage: Eukaryota; Viridiplantae; Streptophyta; Magnoliopsida; Malpighiales; Euphorbiaceae. The record is from RNAcentral.
UUAAAUUUAUUUUGCAAUAUAUGUGUUGUACUAUAUUAUUUAAUAGAAUAAUAGUUAAAUUGCUUACAAUUUAUAUCAUUUCCACAUUGUCAAUAUUAUAAUUGCAUAUUGACUCAGGAUGAGACGACAGUAGAUCAUGCCACCUGAUGGGUUACAUCAGGAUCGCGUGCGCAUCGGUAUUGAUCAAAGACAGAUAGUAAAGGAAUAUUUUUGGGAUGUACCUUGGUUGAGUAUAACUAUCUGGGCUGUGAAAAUUUGAUUGCCGAAGAAAAGGUCCUUGGUCGAGCGUUGCCUUUGGGCGCCGAUUAUAUUCGAUAUCAAGUGACCAGGCUGUAUUUAAGGACCCUGGUUGAGCUUCGCUCUCCGGACGCCAGUCCUAUUAAAAUAAGAGAGUCGAAAGGCUGCUAGUAUUGGGGUUAGGGUUCUGCUGAAGUGCUUGCCCUUUAUGAGUUAAAAAAUAUUUAUUUUAAAAUUAUGCUAUGGUACAUAUUUAUUAUUUUAUGAUGU